UGUAAGCGUAUACCAAAGUUGUUGCAGUUAAGACGCUCGUAGUCGGAAUUUGGCAGUUCCGGAUGUGUGCACGUCGUGUGCGCACUUCGCGGGGAUUGCUUUUGUGGUCUUGCGUAGGAUGAGGCACUUUUAUUAGUGAACGUCCUCACGCAACCACUUUUUACUGUGAGAAAAUCAGAGUGCUCAAAGCAGGCAUUUGCCGUGAAUGUAUUAGCAUGGAAUAAUAGAAUAGGACUUGGUUCUAUUUUGUUGGUUUGUUGGGACUGAGUAAUGAUUAAGAGGGACAGUUGGGGGCAUUUGUAUUUCGGUGCUAGGGGUGAAAUUCUUAGAUUACCGAAAGACAAACUGCUGCGAAAGCGUCUGCCAAGGAUGUUUUCAUUGA
Molecule: ribosomal RNA, 382 nt
Filed under: uncultured eukaryote
Lineage: Eukaryota
Description: partial 18S ribosomal RNA
Rfam family: Eukaryotic small subunit ribosomal RNA
Source: RNAcentral